CGUCUAUAUACGUAUAGCAUAUCAAUAAGCGGAGGAAAAGAAACUAACUAGGAUUCCCUUAGUAACGGCGAGUGAAGCGGGAAGAGCUCAAAUUUGAAAUCUUCAAGGUUCUACCUUGACGAAUUGUAGUUUAAAGAAGUGUUUUCUGUUGGAGUUUUGGUAAAAGUUCUUUGGAAUAGGACAUCAUAGAGGGUGAGAAUCCCGUAUUUGACCAUUAUUUCCAACUUUGUGAUACACUUUCAAAGAGUCGGAUUGUUUGGGAAUGCAGUCCAAAAUGGGUGGUAAAUUUCAUCUAAAGCUAAAUACUGGCGAGAGACCGAUAGCGAACAAGUACCGUGAGGGAAAGAUGAAAAGAACUUUGAAAAGAGAGUUAAACAGUACGUGAAAUUGUCAAAAGGGAAGCGUUUGACACCAGUGUUGUUUUCUCGAAAAUCAAUUAAAAAUGGAUUGGAUUUUGUGUUGUAUUGACUUUAUCAGCUUUCUGCACUCCUUUCUUGUCUUUUUUAAUGCACUUUUCGUUUAACAAGUCAACAUCAAUUUCUUUUGUUGUAAAAGGGUCCUUGGAAGGUGGCUUUCUUUUCGGAGAAAGUGUUUAUAGCCUUUGGACUUCUGCAAUCGGAGAGAUCGAGGUCUGCAGCGUAGAUCCUUCGGGGUUAGAUACAUUUGUGCUAAGUUAUAGCCUUUCAUAGACAACUUGUUGACUAUGAUCAGUCAUGUAGCUUACUCGCUUAUGUUAUUUUACCUACGCUUAGGAUGUUGACGAUCAGCUGAGCGCG
This 776-nucleotide ribosomal RNA is filed under the name uncultured Neocallimastigales. RNAcentral describes it as "partial large subunit ribosomal RNA". It matches the Rfam family "Eukaryotic large subunit ribosomal RNA", at positions 26 to 628 of the family's 3401-position model. Lineage: Eukaryota; Fungi; Neocallimastigomycota; Neocallimastigomycetes; Neocallimastigales. The record is from RNAcentral.